RNAcentral lists this ribosomal RNA (468 nucleotides) under uncultured bacterium. Its description in RNAcentral is "partial 16S ribosomal RNA". It matches the Rfam family "Bacterial small subunit ribosomal RNA", at positions 28 to 507 of the family's 1533-position model. The record is from RNAcentral.
GACGAACGCUGGCGGCGUGCUUAACACAUGCAAGUCGAACGGAAAGGCCCUGCUUUUGUGGGGUGCUCGAGUGGCGAACGGGUGAGUAACACGUGAGUAACCUGCCCUUGACUUUGGGAUAACUUCAGGAAACUGGGGCUAAUACCGGAUAGGAGCUCCUGCUGCAUGGUGGGGGUUGGAAAGUUUCGGCGGUUGGGGAUGGACUGGCGGCUUAUCAGCUUGUUGGUGGGGUAGUGGCUUACCAAGGCUUUGACGGGUAGCCGGCCUGAGAGGGUGACCGGCCACAUUGGGACUGAGAUACGGCCCAGACUCCUACGGGAGGCAGCGGUGGGGAAUAUUGCCCAAUGGGCGGAAGCCUGAUGCAGCAACGCCGCGUGCGGGAUGACGGCCUUCGGGUUGUAAACCGCUUUCGCCUGUGACGAAGCGUGAGUGACGGUAAUGGGUAAAGAAGCACCGGCUAACUACGUG